This 238-nucleotide long non-coding RNA is filed under the name Ananas comosus (pineapple). RNAcentral's name for it is "long non-coding RNA (ACOM_LNC011201)". Lineage: Eukaryota; Viridiplantae; Streptophyta; Magnoliopsida; Poales; Bromeliaceae. The record is from RNAcentral.
GCUAUCAAUAGGCACUUUUUUUUACUUUAUUUUAAUCAGGAGAAAGUCUACUAUAUUAUACUUGCACAACAUCAUCAAUAACAAGAUAAUUAUAUUUUUUUAUUUUAAAAAAUAUAAUAAAAAUAUAUAUUUUUUUAAUUUUGAUAGGAUAAAAUAAAUUCAAACAAAUUAUUCGAUUGAUUGGAGACACCACACCACUAAUAUAACCGGUGCAUUUUAAAUUUUUUCUCCCAACAAG